Tympanuchus pallidicinctus (lesser prairie-chicken) is the source of this 1442-nucleotide long non-coding RNA. RefSeq lists it as uncharacterized. Lineage: Eukaryota; Metazoa; Chordata; Aves; Galliformes; Phasianidae. The record is from RefSeq and is a predicted model, not a curated record. The transcript has 3 exons.
CUGAGUCACGGCCUGAACUCCUGAUUGAUCACCUGAGGAGAGCCAUGAGUCAGCCAGAGGAGCACAGGUGAAGGCAAUUCACCUGUGCUGCCGGAAGGGGGUGGAGCCAGGCUCCACCCCUCCUAGACCUAUUUAAGAGCUGGCUACCAGCGGGGAAGGAUCUCCUCCGGAGAUCACCUCUCUUGGUGUUUUCUGGUGAGCUCAGCUGAAGGCAUUUCUUCUAGAUGCAUGUAACAGGCACGGACUGCAGCACAGGAAUUUCCAUAAGAAUGUAAGGAAGAACAUCUUUAUUGUGAGGGUGACAGAGUGCUGGAGCAGGCUGCGGGAAAGGUGGUGGAGUCUUCUUUGGAGAUCAUCAAAACCUGCCUGCAUGCUUUCCUGUGUGAGCUGCUGUGUGGGGCUGGCCUGGACGAUGUCCAGAGGUCCCUUUUGACCCCUACAAUUCUGUGACACCCUCCCAUCAAGAAAGGAACAUACAAAAAGAAGAAAGAAGCAUGGAGCUUGCAAGUUAUUUAAACAUUUUGCUGACUAAAAAGUAAAAAUAAAUAUAAUAAGCACAGAAGUAGGCUUUUUACACACAACUACUUAUAUAUUCAAGAUGAUUGAGGAAGAAAUGAGAGCUGACAAAGGAUAAGAACAGGAAUCCAUCCACCCUGUUUUUUAUACAUCCAUAUACUGUCAAGACACCCUAGCAAAGUAUUAGGCAAAUACAUCAGGUAUACUUGGAGCCUGUUUUACACCAAAAGCAAUUUUUGCUCCCUGUGUGCACCUCAACUAGAGCUGAUCAAACUCUCCUAGAAUGAGAUGGAGUUUCAUACAACAAAUGGUGUAUGCGCUUGUUCUUCUCUAGCCCUGAUGCUGUGUUCUGCGAAAGUGAAACGCAGAAAACUGCUUUACAACAAACCACACCAUUUCCUAUCCAUUUUAAUUUCUUAAAAUAUUAGCUUGAUGCUUUGCAUUUAAGCACUUGGAAUCACAUUACUGUACAGGCACACAUAUCAUACAAGAAUCUGUAACUGCAACAGGUUGAGAGAUAACAGAACUGAAAAUAGGAAAGGGUUUCCUUUUUGUACCUUUAUAAAGCAAAUUAAUGAGUUAAAACACUAAAUUAGAGAAAAGGUUUUCUUCCAUAAACUUCUAUAAAUAUAGAAGAUGAAAAUUCACCUUCUGGAAACUUAAAUGCUUUAAAAAAAAAAAAAAAAGAAAAAAAUAAAGAGAGCAGAAUCUUCUUUUAAGCUGGUAAGAGAUGUAAGACCAGCAGGGUAUAUGUCAACUGGAACAAUCUGUAUCAAAAAAGAUCCCAGGAACAUCAGAAAGAUACACAGGCUGGAAGACCUGGGCUCUAUGAUUUGUGUCAUCCCUGUAAGCAGAAUACUUGGCAGUACGUAAAGGCACUGGAUCGGGCACCUGGCUGAUUACAGAUCAGCAGAGCUCCGCAUUUC